GUUGCUUCAUUUUAGAGAUUUCGAUCAAUUAGAAGGAAGAACUUGAGAAUCUCGUUACUUUAGUUUAAAUGUUGAUUUCAGUGGCUAAUCUUUUAUGUGUUUAUAUGUUUUCAUCAGUGUUUCCAUGGAGCCUAAUAAUCGUUAGUUUCUUGAAGUCAACACACAACUAUCAAUCCCAAGGCUAAAUCACUUUAUCAAUUUAGUGCAUUCUUGGUCCAUAAAUGCUUUAGAUUAUGAGCAUGGAUAUGUUGUUGAUCACCAAAUGAUAUGGGU
Molecule: long non-coding RNA, 273 nt
Filed under: Arabidopsis lyrata
Lineage: Eukaryota; Viridiplantae; Streptophyta; Magnoliopsida; Brassicales; Brassicaceae
Description: long non-coding RNA (ALYR_LNC001353)
Source: RNAcentral